AUUUAUAUAGUUUAAAAAUUAAAACCCUCCAUUUUCAAUGGAAAAAUAGGCUAUGCCUUAUAAAUA
RNAcentral lists this transfer RNA (66 nucleotides) under Alloeorhynchus sp. RNAcentral describes it as "tRNA-Glu". The record is from RNAcentral. Lineage: Eukaryota; Metazoa; Arthropoda; Insecta; Hemiptera; Nabidae.